UAGACUCGUUAGCUCAGUUGGUAGAGCAAUUGACUUUUAAUCAAUGGGUCACUGGUUCGAGUCCACUCGUGCCCAU
Molecule: transfer RNA, 76 nt
Filed under: Streptococcus pneumoniae
Lineage: Bacteria; Bacillati; Bacillota; Bacilli; Lactobacillales; Streptococcaceae
Description: tRNA-Lys(ttt)
Rfam family: tRNA (bases 10-67)
About the family: Transfer RNA (tRNA) molecules are approximately 80 nucleotides in length. Their secondary structure includes four short double-helical elements and three loops (D, anti-codon, and T loops).
Source: RNAcentral